This 497-nucleotide ribosomal RNA is filed under the name uncultured bacterium. RNAcentral's name for it is "partial 16S ribosomal RNA". It matches the Rfam family "Bacterial small subunit ribosomal RNA", at positions 28 to 507 of the family's 1533-position model. The record is from RNAcentral.
GAUGAACGCUGGCGGCGUGCCUAAUACAUGCAAGUCGAGCGAACAGAUGAGGAGCUUGCUCCUCUGACGUUAGCGGCGGACGGGUGAGUAACACGUGGAUAACCUACCUAUAAGACUGGGAUAACUUCGGGAAACCGGAGCUAAUACCGGAUAAUAUAUUGAACCGCAUGGUUCAAUAGUGAAAGACGGUUUUGCUGUCACUUAUAGAUGGAUCCGCGCCGCAUUAGCUAGUUGGUAAGGUAACGGCUUACCAAGGCAACGAUGCGUAGCCGACCUGAGAGGGUGAUCGGCCACACUGGAACUGAGACACGGUCCAGACUCCUACGGGAGGCAGCAGUAGGGAAUCUUCCGCAAAGGGCGAAAGCCUGACGGAGCAACGCCGCGUGAGUGAUGAAGGUCUUCGGAUCGUAAAACUUUGUUAUUAGGGAAGAACAAAUGUGUAAGUAACUAUGCACGUCUUGACGGUACCUAAUCAGAAAGCCACGGCUAACUACGUG